GGGAGAGGUUCUUUCAAGGGCAAGAUGUGAAUAAGUAUUCUAUAUAUAUACAUGCCCUCCCAGGGUUUGUGCUAAGUAUUUCUAAUACCUCAGUUUUUUACAAGAGGCAAAUUCCAAGUCAGCAUGUUGAAUGGGGAUCAGUAACACUUGUUGAUGCUGAGAAGAGGCUAAUGGCAAAUGCUCUGCUCGACUUCUCAAAUGAGCGGUUUGUCCUCCUUUCUGAGAGCUGCAUUCCAGUUUACAAUUUCCCAACUGUCUACAAGUAUCUGAUAGGAUCCAUUCAUAGUUUUGUUGAAUCAUAUGAUGAUCCUUCUCGCUAUGGGCGUGGGCGCUAUAACCGCCAUAUGAGACCUGAUAUCAAACUUCCUGAUUGGCGAAAAGGAUCGCAAUGGUUUGAGAUGAAUCGGACUUUAGCUGUUAGAGUAGUUUCAGAUACCAAAUACUACGAUCUCUUCGAAAGAUUUUGCAAGCCUGCUUGCUAUCCAGAUGAGCACUAUAUUCCUACUUUGAUUCGAUUGUUCCACGGACCUUUAAAUGCAAACCGAACAGUGACGUAUGUUGACUGGUCCUUAGGGGGACCACACCCUGCUGCAUUCAGCGCAGUAAAUAUUACUGAAGGUUUUUUACAGUUGAUAAGGAACAAUGGAACAGCAUGUGCAUACAACUCAGAGAAGACACAUGUUUGUUACCUCUUUGCUAGGAAGUUUAAUCCAAGUGCUCUAGAACCUUUACUGAACCUAAGUUCCAAAGUGAUGGAAUACUGAAGAGGAUUUUUGAGAGACAAGGGUAUCUUUUUUCACCCUUUCCUUGUGAUUCAUAUUGAUGUUAGAUCCUUUGCUCACAAGUGUAGGUUUGCAUUAUGAUUACUUUUCACUCCUGUAGUACAUGGUUUAGAAUUUCUUGGGGAGGAUUUAGGUCCUUAAAAUUGAGAGGAGGUAUUAAUUUUCUUGUGUAGACGACGUUAAAUUUGCCAUUAUUUUUUUGUAGCUGGG
Molecule: unclassified non-coding RNA, 992 nt
Filed under: Hevea brasiliensis (rubber tree)
Lineage: Eukaryota; Viridiplantae; Streptophyta; Magnoliopsida; Malpighiales; Euphorbiaceae
Source: RNAcentral